CAAUCAGACAGAGUCUAUGGCCUGUGAAUCGAGGAUCUGUUCAUUUCUCUCGAAGUAGUUAUUUUAUAACAUCCCAAUCAUCCUUUUAUAGGCAAUCAACACACUGAGUAAUUACAACAUGUGUGUACGUGUAUCAGAACAUGAUCUUAUGACUUGGCUAAAUUCAGAGGUUAGAUAACUAUUGGUUUGUGCCUGUUGCUGUCCAGAUUGUGUGCUUCUGUUAUGAUUAAACCUAUCAAACGAUAACAGAAUGAGGGCUGGAAAUAACACAAAGUGAUGAUCAAAGCGAGGGUGUGGAGCUCAUCAACUUUAAAAACACCAAAAAUCAUUUCUGAUUUGACGUUCAUUUUCAUAAACAUGUAAAUAUGCAGAGUCUCCAACAUAAUGUUCUCUCCUGAAAAACAUCCAGAUAUGAAUUCAGCGAUGAAAUAGCAACAGAAAAUCUUUAAAGACAUAAGCUAACUCUCCUCCUCGUCUUCUGGCUGUGCAGACAGUAAGGCACACAGCAAAGUCGACGAUCACCAUAGCACAGGCCAGCAGGAACAUCCAACAACAAUACACAACAGCAGCCACAGGUGGGCAGGUGAGGACGGGACGGCGUGGCCUACGCCUUAGACAAGCAGAGAAAAACGCACAAGGACUGAGUUGUCAUCUGUCUCUUCAGAUUUUGAUCUGUUCAUCCGGUCCAGUUAAAUUUAAAUAAAAUAAAAAAAAACUCUCAUGUAUGUAGUAGAGCCUAGGUUGAUGGAAAAGAAAUGGUCUCCAUGACUUCAGAAACACAGUUUAAAACUAGUUAGACAGGACAAAGGGACGUGGCACACUCCUGCUGCCAUCACAUUGUGUGUGUCAGUGAAAGUGGAAAUGAGGCUCCUGUUUGUGCUGAAUGUGACCUCUGAGGACAGAACAGUUGGAGACAGCAGAUGGUUCACAGCUUCUUUGUGCUGCACUUUGAUUAGUCAGACUUUAUUCACUGCAUGUGUUUGUUGAUUUUGAUCUCCAUUCAUCCUGCCUGCCAUGGUAACUCCAUUUGAACUUGAUUAGAAGUGGAUUAUUACAUUUCAGUGCUGUCAAACAUCAUUCAGUGCUGAAUAUGAACUCUAAGUUUGAUUGACUCUCAGUAAGUAGGGUUAAAUAAAGUAUUUUAGAAUGAAAUGAAGUAAUUAAUAUAGCCUAUAUGUAAAAAUAUUUAUUUUUAAUUACAGUGACACCUUUUACUUUAUUAAGCCAACAGUUUUUUGAAUGCCCUUUGAGCACAUAAACCUAAUCACAUCUGGGACAGUAUAGUUUCAUUGCAGAACUAUUAAUAAUUCCCUCUGUCGAUAUAAGAACUUCAAUGGCAUUUGUUAUGGCUUUGGCCUGUUUAGAAUUACUAGCAAAAGGCUGUCUGUUUUUUCCUAGUUGCAGUGAUGUUUACGUUCGCGUGGGGUCUUUUCAAGUGCUUUAAUAAGUUGGACGUGUUGCCUGCAAUGUUUUAUGUUCCUCCACCCUGAGGUGUGCUUCUGCUUUGCGGUCCGUGUGGGAAUACAGAUUAAAGUACUUUUGUUCCGCGCAUACUCGCAUCCGAGUAUGUGUACCUUUACACCCCUAUCAGUAAGUGUCAGUAAAGUUGUUGAUGAAUGAACAAAUGAUAACCUGCAGCUGUGUUGUGUCUCGUUCUCUC
Molecule: long non-coding RNA, 1660 nt
Organism: Labrus mixtus (cuckoo wrasse)
Lineage: Eukaryota; Metazoa; Chordata; Actinopteri; Labriformes; Labridae
Exons: 3
Source: RefSeq, a predicted model, not a curated record